UGCAGAUCAUGGAUGAUGGUAGUAGA
RNAcentral lists this non-coding RNA (26 nucleotides) under Homo sapiens (human). Lineage: Eukaryota; Metazoa; Chordata; Mammalia; Primates; Hominidae. The record is from RNAcentral.